UGUUGCUUGCAAGGGCGUAUGGUGGAUGCCUUGGCAGACAGGACCGAUGAAGGACGUUUGAGGCUGCGAUAUGCCUCGGGGAGCCGCCAACAGGGCUUUGAUCCGAGGAUUUCCGAAUGGGGGAACCCACCGACCGUCAUGGGUCGGUACCGGCUUCGGCCGGGGGGUACGCAGGGAAGUGAAACAUCUCAGUACCUGCAGGAAAGGAUAUUCCGUGAGUAGUGGCGAGCGAAAGCGGAUGAUGGCCAAACCUUGCGCGUGUGAUACCCGUCGGGGGUUGCGCGCGGGGUGUUGCGGGAUCGCGUGCGCCGGCUCCGACGGGCCGGCCGGCAGUUGCAGAAAACCAUGUGUCAGGGGAACCGGGUUGAAUACCGGGCCGCAGAGGGUGAGGGCCCCGUACCUGAACGCGCAUGGUCUGCCGAUCGCGUCUCCCAAGUAGCACGGGUCCCGUGGAACCCCGUGCGAAUCCGCCCAGACCGUUGGGUAAGCCUGAAUAUUCCUGUCUGACCGAUAGCGAACGAGUACCGUGAGGGAAAGGUGAAAAGUACCCCGGGAGGGGAGUGAAACAGUCUCUGAAACCGUGCGCCUACAAUCCGUCGGAGCCCUUUUGUGGGGUGACGGCGUGCCUAUCGAAAAAUGAGUCUGCGAGUCAGUGGCAUGUGGCGAGCAUAACCCGUGUGGGGUAUGCGUAGCGAAGGCGAGUCUUAAAAGGCGUUUGAGUCGCGUGUCCUGGACCCGAAGCGGGAUGAUCUAGCCCUGAGCAGGUUGAAGCGCGGGUAAGACCGCGUGGAGGACCGAACCCACCUGGGUUGAAAACCGGGGGAUGACUUGGGGCUAGGGGUGAAAGGCCAAUCAAAUUCCGUGAUAGCUGGUUCUCUCCGAAAUGCAUUUGGGUGCAGCGUCGGGUCAUUACGUCCCGGGGGUAGAGCUACUGGAUGCUUGCGGGCCCGUAUCGGGUACCAACAGCAACCAAACUCCGAAUACCGGUGACGCGUAUCCCGGCAGUGAGUCGGCGGGGGAUAAGCUUCGUCGUCGAAAGGGAAACAGCCCAGACCGUCGUCUAAGGUCCCGAAG
Molecule: ribosomal RNA, 1074 nt
Filed under: Escherichia coli
Lineage: Bacteria; Pseudomonadati; Pseudomonadota; Gammaproteobacteria; Enterobacterales; Enterobacteriaceae
Description: partial 23S ribosomal RNA
Rfam family: Bacterial large subunit ribosomal RNA
Source: RNAcentral